Molecule: long non-coding RNA, 2179 nt
Organism: Ostrea edulis (European flat oyster)
Lineage: Eukaryota; Metazoa; Mollusca; Bivalvia; Ostreida; Ostreidae
Exons: 3
Source: RefSeq, a predicted model, not a curated record
AGGAGGAUCAUCAUCAGCACAACUAGAAUAACAAUACAUCUACAGGAGGAUCAUCAUCAGCACAACUAGAAUAACAAUACAUCUACAGGAGGACCAUCAUCAGCACAUAUACUACAAUAGAAUAUUCAUGCAUUUAUGGGAUAGCCAUCUUAUGUACACCUGCUGAAGGACCAAAAUCUAGAAACGACUGGGGGAAGUACUGAAGGACCAGCAUCUACACACCUACAAGAAGAUCUUGAGGAUCAUUAUCAGCACAACUACUAGAAUAACAAUGCAGCUACUAGAGAAUCAUCACCUUGAGAACUACUGGAGAAUCAUCGUCAGGACUAGUACUAGAAUGUCUAAGCCUCUACUGGAAGACCAUCUUAUGGAAACCUGUUGAAGGUCCUUCAUCUGGAGAAUCACCAUCUGAACAAGUACUGAAGGACAGUUAUUACAGGAGGACCAUCAUCUGGACAACUACUGGAGAACCAACCUCUGAACAACUACUAGAGGACCAUCAUCUGGACAACUACUGGAGGACCAUCAUCUAGACGACUACUGGAGGACCAUUGUAUAGACGACUACUGGAGGACUAUUGUCUAGACGACUACUGGAGGACCAUCAUCUAGACGACUACUGGAGGACCAUUGUCUAGACGACUACUGGAGGACUAUUGUCUAGACGACUACUGGAGGACCAUCAUCUAGACGACUACUGGAGGACCAUCGUCUAGACGACUACUGGAGGACCAUCAUCAGAAAGUCAUUGCAUCUACACGAGGAUCAUUAUCAGGACUACUUGAAGAUUAUUUUUGGACAAUUGAUUGAGGAUCCAUCAUCAGGAGAACUAUUAAACAUAGGAUCUUCAUUAAGACAACUACCAUAAGAUUUUUAUUUUGGUCACUACUGAUCAACCAUCAUAUGCAGCUAUUGAGGAAUAUCCUCUAGACAAGUAAUGAAGAUAGUGCAUUUAGUGGAAGAGGAUUAUCUCCUGGACAUAUAUAUGAGGAUCACUACCAUUACAACUUAUGAUUGAACAUUGCCUGGAGAGCUACUUAUGAAUCAUCGAAUACUGGUUACGCAUGCAGGGUUAACACAGCUAAAUGAAAGUUCAUUAUGUGCAGAUCUACUGAAGAUUUUAUCCUAAACAUAAUUAUACUAAAGACUUCAUCUACAAAAAUGUAUCAUUUGAUUGAGGAUCAUUAUUCUUGUAUCUAUAGAAGGAAUAUCGUUUUGUUAUAUCAAGAGGAUAAUCAUCUAGAUAUGCACUAACAUCCAACCAAAAAAAAAUUAGGAUUCUCUUUGUUACAUAUUCUACUGGAUAAUCAGCUGUCAUUUACUGUAAUCUAAAAGUCAGGAACUCAUCACCAGGAAAUUUAGUAGAUGUCUGAACAUUUAUUUUUAGGACUGAUUGUCAGAAUAUUUACACAAGGAUAUUUGAAACAUUUACUUGAUGAUCAUAAUGCACUGGGGAUCACUACCUGUGCGUGAUUGUGAUCUGAACACGUACAGGAGAAUCGAUGCAUUUACUAAAUGAUGAAAAAAGCAUAAACAGAUCAUCAACUUGAGAAUGAUCACCAAGAGAAUCUUGCAUCUACCUUUAAUAAUCAUUUAGUAUAUCAGCAAGGAUUCUGAAAAGUUUAUGAUGACAAGGCAAGAAUCGGGGAAUCUUGGAUUAUAUGACCAUCAACAUUAGUAUCUCAUCAGGUCAUGUAAAGGACUUAUACAGAUUUUGAAAAGUCAGAACAUCUUCCAACAAUUUCUGUCAGGAAAUCAAGCUGUCAAGAACAAUAUGCUUCACAUGAUUGAUGACAGAUAUUAUCCACAUAUGGGACAACACAAAAAGUCAAUAAUCAGUAACGGAUACAAAUCUAAACAACAACAUUGAAAUCAUCAUCACGAGGACUGAAAAUUCAUUGAGAAGUCAAGUUCUGGACAACAGAGUAUUGCCAUGAUCACGUAAAUGGGGCAUUCAGCUGUAUUAAUCAAAUCGACCUUGGUUUUAUUAAUCCAGUCGACCUUGGUGUUUGAGCAUUUGCACUGCAUUGUACUAGCUUCACUUUAAGGAGAUGACCUACUACCUGCUCCUCAGAAUAUUCUUAAUUGAGGAUGAGUGUGGAUAUACCUGUUUUAACGACCAAGAGAAAUUUUCAUGUUAAAUAUAUUUUCAUUUGAAUAAAGCUUGUUGAAAAUGUUAA